CCGAGUUAGGGUCCUUUUGGCCCGACCUCCAACCCUUUGUUUAUUAUACCAUGUUGCUUUGGUAGGCCUGCCUUUCGGGGCUGCCGGGGGCAUCACUGCCCCUGACCCGUGCCUGCCAGGAGCCUUCUUAAAUUCAGUCUUUAACUGUGCUGUCUGAGUCCUAAUAUCAAAAUAUACA
Molecule: unclassified non-coding RNA, 178 nt
Filed under: uncultured Herpotrichiellaceae
Lineage: Eukaryota; Fungi; Ascomycota; Eurotiomycetes; Chaetothyriales; Herpotrichiellaceae
Description: sequence contains ITS1
Source: RNAcentral